RNAcentral lists this ribosomal RNA (253 nucleotides) under uncultured bacterium. RNAcentral describes it as "partial 16S ribosomal RNA". It matches the Rfam family "Bacterial small subunit ribosomal RNA", at positions 524 to 776 of the family's 1533-position model. The record is from RNAcentral.
UACGAAGGGUGCUAGCGUUGUUCGGAAUUACUGGGCGUAAAGGGCGCGUAGGCGGCGUGUCAAGUCAGGCGUGAAAGCCCCGGGCUCAACCUGGGAACCGCGCUUGAGACUGGCAUGCUCGAGUGCGGGAGAGGAUGGUGGAAUUCCCAGUGUAGAGGUGAAAUUCGUAGAUAUUGGGAAGAACACCGAUGGCGAAGGCAGCCAUCUGGACCGACACUGACGCUGAGGCGCGAAAGCGUGGGGAGCAAACAGG